This is an RNA transcript of Magnolia sinica, 908 nucleotides long. It is a transcript of the gene named photosynthetic NDH subunit of subcomplex B 3, chloroplastic, with no coding region annotated. The transcript is spliced from 6 exons. The record is from RefSeq and is a predicted model, not a curated record. Lineage: Eukaryota; Viridiplantae; Streptophyta; Magnoliopsida; Magnoliales; Magnoliaceae.
AUCAAAGUUUCUGCUGCCCAAAACGAGCCACGCAAACGCCCCCAUAUAAUUACCUAAUUACCCUUUAGGCAUAAAUACCGUUCUUCCCUCCGCCCGAUUGCGGGAAAAAAACAACAAUAAAACGAACAUCCAGGAUGGCCGCCGUACAUCUGUCCUUAGCAUCCCUUCAACAGCCCGCAACGAUACCCUCCUCCGCCUCUGCCCGAAAUCCCAGAAAACCUUUCUCAUUCCCUUCUAUUUCCAGAAAGCAUCGCACCAUCUCCAUCUCACGUGCCGUUGCCGAUUCCUCCAAUUCCUCGCCGUCUGGCACCGAAGCAGCACCGCCCCAGAAGCCCGAAAUCGAACUCGAAUUCCUCGGGCCAAAACCAGGGGUAGAUGGGUCUUUUCCAGUUGAGAGAGCUUCGGCUGUGAGCGGCGAGAAGCUUCUGAGGAACAUCAUGCUCGACAACAAGAUGGAACUCUACGCCACCUAUGGAAAAGUGAUGAAUUGCGGUGGUGGUGGAAGCUGUGGCACAUGCAUUGUGGAGAUUCUCGAUGGCAAAGAUCUAUUAAAUGAAAGAACAAACACAGAACUGCGGUAUCUGAAAAAGGCAUGCCAAGUUUAAACGCAUCUGUGCUUCAAGUUGUUUUGCUCUAUUCAAACGAAACCUGAUUCUUGGAGGCUUGCAUGUCAAACUAUUGUUGGGAACAAGGAAAAUUCCGGCAAGGUUGUUGUUCAGCGGUUGCCCCAAUGGAAGAAGUGAUCGUUUAGAUCGCUGAGACACUGAUUGUGAAGCUGAGGUUCAAUGGUCAAUGAAGACAGAUUUGUGUAAUCUCCUGUAAAAAAAACAACAUCGGAUUUCUUGAUCGUAAAUUGCUCCAUUAUGAAAGCGCUGCAAUUUCUAGAAUUUAUGUAUUUUUUCUAGACA